This 75-nucleotide transfer RNA is filed under the name Candidatus Uhrbacteria bacterium. RNAcentral describes it as "tRNA-Phe". It matches the Rfam family "tRNA". From Rfam's summary of the family: Transfer RNA (tRNA) molecules are approximately 80 nucleotides in length. Their secondary structure includes four short double-helical elements and three loops (D, anti-codon, and T loops). The record is from RNAcentral. Lineage: Bacteria; Candidatus Uhriibacteriota.
GCCUGGGUAGCUCAGUGGUAGAGCAAGGGUCUGAAGAACCCUGUGUCGUCAGUUCGAUCCUGACCCCAGGCACCA